CAGGCGAGACUACCCGCUGAGUUUAAGCAUAUCAAUAAG
Molecule: ribosomal RNA, 39 nt
Filed under: Garcinia morella
Lineage: Eukaryota; Viridiplantae; Streptophyta; Magnoliopsida; Malpighiales; Clusiaceae
Description: partial 28S ribosomal RNA
Source: RNAcentral